GAUGAACGCUAGCUACAGGCUUAACACAUGCAAGUCGAGGGGCAGCAUUUCGCUAGCAAUAGUGAAGAUGGCGACCGGCGCACGGGUGAGUAACACGUAUCCAACCUGCCGAUAACUCGGGGAUAGCCUUUCGAAAGAAAGAUUAAUAUCCGAUGGUAUAUUAAAACCGCAUGGUUUUACUAUUAAAGAAUUUCGGUUAUCGAUGGGGAGUGCGUUCCAUUAGUUUGUUGGCGGGGUAACGGCCCACCAAGACUACGAUGGAUAGGGGUUCUGAGAGGAAGGUCCCCCACCAUUGGAACUGAGACACGGUCCAAACUCCUACGGGGAGGCAGCAGUGAGGAAUAUUGGUCAAUGGGCGAGAGCCUGAACCAGCCAAGUAGCGUGAGGGAUGAAGGCUCUAUGGGUCGUAAACCUCUUUUNUAUGGGAAUAAAGUUUUCCACGUGUGGAAUUUUGUAUGUACCAUAUGAAUAAGGAUCGGCUAACUCCGUG
This 490-nucleotide ribosomal RNA is filed under the name uncultured bacterium. Its description in RNAcentral is "bacterial SSU rRNA". It matches the Rfam family "Bacterial small subunit ribosomal RNA", at positions 28 to 507 of the family's 1533-position model. The record is from RNAcentral.